This 821-nucleotide ribosomal RNA is filed under the name Orpinomyces sp. NRFI-1. Its description in RNAcentral is "eukaryotic LSU rRNA". The stretch from base 397 to 551 matches the Rfam family "5.8S ribosomal RNA". The record is from RNAcentral. Lineage: Eukaryota; Fungi; Neocallimastigomycota; Neocallimastigomycetes; Neocallimastigales; Neocallimastigaceae. RNAcentral also lists the same sequence under 1 other name.
AUACCGAUUGAAUGGCUUAGUUAAUCCUUCGGAUUGGCUUUCUUUUUCUGGCUUAGUGAAUCCUUUCGGAUUGGCUAUUUUUUUCUGGCAACAGAAUUAAACUGCUAAAAAGUUGGGCAAACUUGGUCAUUUAGAGGAAGUAAAAGUCGUAACAAGGUUUCCGUAGGUGAACCUGCGGAAGGAUCAUUAAAAAAUAAUCACUGUUUUGUGAUUUUAAUAAUCAUCCUACCCUUUGUGAAUUUGUUUUGUUUGAAAAUUUAUGUUGUCUAUCCCUGGUGGUUUUGGAAAAGUUGAAAAACUUUUUCGAAUCCCAGGGACUAGGCUUUCAUAGACCUUUUUUUAAAUUAAACUUUUUGUAUUCAUUUGUCUAAAAUUUAUUUUUAAUAAUUUAAAAACAACUUUUGACAAUGGAUCUCUUGGUUCUCGCAACGAUGAAAAACGCACCAAAAUGCGAUAAGUAAUGUGAAUUGCAGAAUACGUGAAUCAUCAAAUCUUCGAACGCAUAUUGCACUUUUCUAGUUUACUAGAAAAGUAUGUCUGUUUGAGUAUCAGUAAAAUAUUCUCAUAAAAACAUUGUUUUUUAUGGUUAUGAGUGUUUUACAACAAUAAACAAGUUGUUUCACUUUAAAUUGAUUUUUAAAAGCCAAUUUUGGUUUUAUCUAAUAAAAUUGGAUAAAAUUUUCCCGUAAAAAGGAAUAAACUUUUCAUUUUUAAUAGUUAAAACUUAAUUGUGCCUAAUUAAAAGGAAAUUUAACAAAAUAACUUGAUCUCAAAUCAGAUAAAAGUACCCGCUGAACUUAAGCAUAUUAUUAAGCGGAGGA